Molecule: ribosomal RNA, 403 nt
Filed under: bacterium
Lineage: Bacteria
Description: partial 16S ribosomal RNA
Rfam family: Bacterial small subunit ribosomal RNA
Source: RNAcentral
UGGGGAAUCUUGCACAAUGGGGGAAACCCUGAUGCAGCGACGCCGCGUGAGCGAUGAAGGUUUUCGAAUCGUAAAGCUCUGUCCUAUGGGAAGAUAAUGACGGUACCAUAGGAGGAAGCCCCGGCUAACUACGUGCCAGCAGCCGCGGUAAUACGUAAGGGGCGAGCGUUGUCCGGAAUUACUGGGCGUAAAGGGUUCGCAGGCGGCAUGACAAGUCCGAUGUAAAAGGCGAAAGCUCAACUUUCGUAAGCAUCGGAAACUGUCAAGCUUGAGUGAAGGAGAGGCAAGUGGAAUUCCUAGUGUAGCGGUGGAAUGCGUAGAUAUUAGGAGGAAUACCGGUGGCGAAGGCGACUUGCUGGACUUCAACUGACGCUGAGGAACGAAAGCGUGGGUAGCAAACAGG